CCUACGGGAGGCAGCAGUGGGGGAUAUUGCACAAUGGGGGAAACCCUGAUGCAGCGACGCCGCGUGGGCGAAGAAGUAUUUCGGUAUGUAAAGCCCUAUCAGCAGGGAAGAAGAAAUGACUGUACCUGAGUAAGAACCCCCGGCUCAAUACGUGCCAGCAGCCGCGGUAAUACGUAUGGUGCAAGCGUUAGCCGGAUUUACUGGGUGGAAAGGGAGCGCAGGCGGCACGGCAAGUCUGAUGUGAAAGCCCGCGGCCCAACCGCGGGACUGCAUUGGGAACUACCGGGAUGGAGUGCCGGAGAGGUAGGCGGAAUUCCUAGUGUAGCGGUGAAAUGCGUAGAUAUUAGGAGGAACACCAGUGGCGAAGGCGGCCUACUGGACGGUGACUGACGCUGAGGCUCGAAGGCGUGGGGAGCAAACAGGAUUAGAUACCCGUGUAGUC
This 442-nucleotide ribosomal RNA is filed under the name uncultured bacterium. RNAcentral's name for it is "partial 16S ribosomal RNA". It matches the Rfam family "Bacterial small subunit ribosomal RNA", at positions 338 to 795 of the family's 1533-position model. The record is from RNAcentral.